This 72-nucleotide transfer RNA is filed under the name Camelus bactrianus (Bactrian camel). It matches the Rfam family "tRNA". From Rfam's summary of the family: Transfer RNA (tRNA) molecules are approximately 80 nucleotides in length. Their secondary structure includes four short double-helical elements and three loops (D, anti-codon, and T loops). RNAcentral also lists the same sequence under 2 other names. The record is from Rfam by way of RNAcentral. Lineage: Eukaryota; Metazoa; Chordata; Mammalia; Artiodactyla; Camelidae.
GACGGUAUAGCUCAGUGGCAGAGCGCAUGCUUAGCAUGCACGAGGUCCUGGGUUCAACUUCCAGUCCCUCCU